Molecule: ribosomal RNA, 850 nt
Filed under: Bacillus licheniformis
Lineage: Bacteria; Bacillati; Bacillota; Bacilli; Caryophanales; Bacillaceae
Description: bacterial SSU rRNA
Rfam family: Bacterial small subunit ribosomal RNA
Source: RNAcentral
UGGGAGCUUGCUCCCUGAUGUCAGCGGCGGACGGGUGAGUAACACGUGGGUAACCUGCCUGUAAGACUGGGAUAACUCCGGGAAACCGGGGCUAAUACCGGAUGCUUGAUUGAACCGCAUGGUUCAAUUAUAAAAGGUGGCUUUUAGCUACCACUUACAGAUGGACCCGCGGCGCAUUAGCUAGUUGGUGAGGUAACGGCUCACCAAGGCAACGAUGCGUAGCCGACCUGAGAGGGUGAUCGGCCACACUGGGACUGAGACACGGCCCAGACUCCUACGGGAGGCAGCAGUAGGGAAUCUUCCGCAAUGGACGAAAGUCUGACGGAGCAACGCCGCGUGAGUGAUGAAGGUUUUCGGAUCGUAAAACUCUGUUGUUAGGGAAGAACAAGUACCGUUCGAAUAGGGCGGUACCUUGACGGUACCUAACCAGAAAGCCACGGCUAACUACGUGCCAGCAGCCGCGGUAAUACGUAGGUGGCAAGCGUUGUCCGGAAUUAUUGGGCGUAAAGCGCGCGCAGGCGGUUUCUUAAGUCUGAUGUGAAAGCCCCCGGCUCACCCGGGGAGGGUCAUUGGAAACUGGGGAACUUGAGUGCAGAAGAGGAGAGUGGAAUUCCACGUGUAGCGGUGAAAUGCGUAGAGAUGUGGAGGAACACCAGUGGCGAAGGCGACCCUCUGGUCUGUAACUGACGCUAAGGCGCGAAAGCGUGGGGAGCGAACGGGAUUAGAUACCCCUGGAAGUCCACGCCGAAAACGAUGAGUGCUAAGUGUUAAAGGGUUUCCCCCCCUUUAGUGCUGCAGCCAAACGCUUUUAAGCACUCCCCCCUGGGGGAGUACGGGUCGCAAAGACUGA